RNAcentral lists this ribosomal RNA (497 nucleotides) under uncultured bacterium. RNAcentral describes it as "partial 16S ribosomal RNA". It matches the Rfam family "Bacterial small subunit ribosomal RNA", at positions 28 to 507 of the family's 1533-position model. The record is from RNAcentral.
GAUGAACGCUGGCGGCGUGCCUAAUACAUGCAAGUCGAGCGAACAGACGAGGAGCUUGCUCCUCUGACGUUAGCGGCGGACGGGUGAGUAACACGUGGAUAACCUACCUAUCAGACUGGGAUAACUUCGGGAAACCGGAGCUAAUACCGGAUAAUAUAUUGAACCGCAUGGUUCAAUAGUGAAAGACGGUUUUGCUGUCACUUAUAGAUGGAUCCGCGCCGCAUUAGCUAGUUGGGAAGGUAACGGCUUACCAAGGCAACGAUGCGUAGCCGACCUGAGAGGGUGGUCGGCCACACGGGAACUGAGACGCGGUCCAGACUCCUACGGGAGGCAGCAGUAGGGAAUCGGCCGCAGUGGGGGAAAGCCUGACGGAGCAACGCCGCGUGAGUGAUGAAGGUCUUCGGAUCGUAAAACUCUGUUAUUAGGGAAGAACAAAUGUGUAAGUAACUAUGCACGUCUUGACGGUACCUAAUCAGAAAGCCACGGCUAACUACGUG